Molecule: ribosomal RNA, 485 nt
Filed under: uncultured bacterium
Lineage: Bacteria
Description: bacterial SSU rRNA
Rfam family: Bacterial small subunit ribosomal RNA
Source: RNAcentral
ACUCGUAGACUCCUACGGGAGGCAGCAGUGGGGAAUUUUGGAGCAAUAGGGCGCAAGCCUGAGUCCAGCCAUGCCGCGGUAGCGGGAAGGAAGGCCGUUCUGGGUUGAUAAACCUGCUUUUGUCGAGGGAAGAAAAGGUUCUGGCUAAUACCUGGGACUCAUAACGGUACCUGAAGAAUAAGCACCGGCUAACUACGUGCCAGCAGCCGCGGUAAUACGUAGGGUGCAAGCGUUAAUCGGAAUUACUGGGCGUAAAGCGUGCGCAGGCGGUUAUGCAAGACAGAGGUGAAAUCCCCGGGCUCAACCUGGGAACUGCCUUUGUGACUGCAUGGCUAGAGUACGGUAGAGGGGGAUGGAAUUCCGCGUGUAGCAGUGAAAUGCGUAGAUAUGCGGAGGAACACCGAUGGCGAAGGCAAUCCCCUGGACCUGUACUGACGCUCAUGCACGAAAGCGUGGGGAGCAAACAGGAUUAGAUACCCUGGUAG